Molecule: ribosomal RNA, 253 nt
Filed under: uncultured bacterium
Lineage: Bacteria
Description: partial 16S ribosomal RNA
Rfam family: Bacterial small subunit ribosomal RNA
Source: RNAcentral
UACAGAGGGUGCGAGCGUUAAUCGGAAUUACUGGGCGUAAAGCGUGCGUAGACGGUUAUUUAAGUCGGGUGUGAAGGCCCCGGGCUCAACCUGGGAAUUGCAUUCGAGACUGAAUAGCUAGGGUACGGUAGAGGGAAGCGGAAUUUCCGGUGUAGCGGUGAAAUGCGUAGAUAUCAGGAGGAACACCUAUUGCGAAGGCAGCUCGCUGGGACGUUACUGACGCUGAGACGCGAAAGCGUGGGGAGCAAACAGG